GUGUAUUGACAUGACAAAGUCCCUUUAGAACUUGAUAAUUAAAGAGGGCAAAAAAACUCAUUUAGAACAUAAAUAUGCCCUGAAAAGAGUGCAACAGAGUAGGAGUAAGCUUCCUCCUACAGAAGAGUUUAAUUUUCACAAAAACACCCUAAUUGAUCUGAUAAAUGUGUAUAAAGUUUCUGGGUACACCAGGCUAGGAUGGCUGGCUGCAUAGUAAGUGCAGCUGAAGUGUUUCAAGCUGACUCUUCCAUGCUGCCAAGGAAUCUCUUGGUUGGACCUUUUACUUAAACCCAGCUCCAAGGUUUCAGCUGGCAGCUGGGAUUUGGAGAGCACUGCACACUCCACCUGAAGCAGCACCGUGUUCAGCACCUCCAGCUGAACAAAACUGGGCCACAGGCAGUGACCUGGACAGUGCAAAACUGUGAAAUAAGAAAAUAUAAAACCUGCUCAAGUUGCUGGAGAGGGUCAGCUUGGUCCUAUUUUCUGUGUAUGUGCUCUCCAGUAAGCUACUGGAAAUUUCCCAUCCAAGCCUGCACAGAGAAAGCAGCUCAUUUUCAAAGAUAAGAAACUGAUGUGAAUGAACCCACUUUGUUCUCCAUGCCAUUUACUAAAUAUGAGAUACAAAAUGACUAUUCAAACUUUCUCAAAGGCAAAAAGUUUUCAAAUUAUACCAAAAGAGAUUUCCAGUCUUCUUCUCUUAAGGCUGUGCUAUUAUUGGAUGGCUUUUACCAGUCAGCUUUGUCAUAAUUGCAUUCAUGAUUUUUGUACAAAAGGGCAUGACCCUUCUCCCUGGAAUGGAUUGGGACACUUACAUACCGUGGAGACUCCAUCCAUGGUUAUGUAAGUACAGCAGGUAUCUCUGGGGAGAUUCAAGCAACAAAAUGGGAUUUAGAUAUCUUAGUAAAUUACUGGCCCAAAGGCUACCUCUGCAUCUGCUUCCCUCACAGAAGGUUACAGCCAUGGCCAAUGGUACUUUGCCAGACUAUUCAGACCAUUAGCUACCGACAGAGGAAGUAAACAGUGUCUGCUUACUCUUACACUUCUUUCAAAAAGGAUUAUGAGCUUUUAAGGUUUAGUAGUGUUUUAUCAUCUUUUCUGUGGUAGUUCAGUCAUAAAGACAGUACAAAUGGAUGCUGCACUACACUUAUUAGAUCCAAAGCUUAAACCAUUAUUCUUACAUUAAACAAUGACUUCUAUAAAAAUGUUCUUACCUGGC
This is a non-coding RNA of Zonotrichia albicollis (white-throated sparrow), 1216 nucleotides long. NCBI's taxonomy places the organism in Eukaryota, Metazoa, Chordata, Aves, Passeriformes, Passerellidae. The record is from RefSeq and is a predicted model, not a curated record.